RNAcentral lists this ribosomal RNA (467 nucleotides) under uncultured bacterium. RNAcentral's name for it is "bacterial SSU rRNA". It matches the Rfam family "Bacterial small subunit ribosomal RNA", at positions 329 to 794 of the family's 1533-position model. The record is from RNAcentral.
UUCCAGACUCCUACGGGAGGCAGCAGUGAGGAAUAUUGGUCAAUGGGCGCGAGCCUGAACCAGCCAAGUCGCGUGAGGGAAGACGGUCCUAUGGAUUGUAAACCUCUUUUGCCGGGGAGCAAAAAGCGGUACGUGUACCGCAUCGAGAGUACCCGGAGAAAAAGCAUCGGCUAACUCCGUGCCAGCAGCCGCGGUAAUACGGAGGAUGCGAGCGUUAUCCGGAUUUAUUGGGUUUAAAGGGUGCGCAGGCGGAUUUUUAAGUCAGCGGUCAAAUCGUGGGGCUCAACCCCAUCCAGCCGUUGAAACUGGGGAUCUAGAGUGUGCGAGAGGUAUGCGGAAUGCGUGGUGUAGCGGUGAAAUGCAUAGAUAUCACGCAGAACCCCGAUUGCGAAGGCAGCGUACCGGCGCCCGACUGACGCUGAAGCACGAAAGCGUGGGUAUCGAACAGGAUUAGAUACCCUAGUAAG